CGAAAGCCUGACGGAGCAAGACCGCGUGGGGGAAGAAGGCUCUUGGGUUGUAAACCCCUUUUCUCUGGGAAGAAAGUUGUGAAAGCAACCUGACGGUACCAGAGGAAUCAGCAUCGGCUAACUCCGUGCCAGCAGCCGCGGUAAGACGGAGGAUGCAAGCGUUAUCCGGAAUGAUUGGGCGUAAAGCGUCCGCAGGUGGCAGUUCAAGUCUGCUGUCAAAGACCGGGGCUUAACUUCGGAAAGGCAGUGGAAACUGAACAGCUAGAGUAUGGUAGGGGCAGAGGGAAUUCCUGGUGUAGCGGUGAAAUGCGUAGAGAUCAGGAAGAACAUCGGGGCGAAGGC
Molecule: ribosomal RNA, 342 nt
Filed under: uncultured cyanobacterium
Lineage: Bacteria; Bacillati; Cyanobacteriota
Description: bacterial SSU rRNA
Rfam family: Bacterial small subunit ribosomal RNA
Source: RNAcentral